UCUGGGCAGCGUAGCGGCUGUCUGUAACCCGAGCGGGAGUAAGAGAGAUGGGAGCUGGGGCUCUCGCAGAGGACCGGUGGGAUCAUGUCGAAGGCACGUCCUCUCGAAGCGUGGAGUCUCUGAUCUGGCCUCCUCGGCGGAAGUGAGGGGAGUCUGGGGGGAUAAUGUGGAGAGCAUAGCGUGAGGCGGGCGACCGAGCAGCGAUCACUUCCCGCUCUGCCCAGUCGGGGGACUGCGUGCUUGAAUGCUUGCCAGCGAUCAUCCGACGUGAGGAGCUUCCUGCAACCUCUCCCUG
Molecule: signal recognition particle RNA, 295 nt
Filed under: Marchantia polymorpha subsp. ruderalis
Lineage: Eukaryota; Viridiplantae; Streptophyta; Marchantiopsida; Marchantiales; Marchantiaceae
Description: Plant signal recognition particle RNA
Rfam family: Plant signal recognition particle RNA
Source: Rfam by way of RNAcentral